CCUACGGGAGGCAGCAGUGGGGAAUAUUGCACAAUGGGCGCAAGCCUGAUGCAGCGACGCCGCGUGAGGGACGACGGCCUUCGGGUUGUAAACCUCUUUCAGCACAGACGAAGCGCGAGUGACGGUAUGUGCAGAAGAAGGACCGGCCAAUUACGUGCCAGCAGCCGCGGUAAU
This 174-nucleotide ribosomal RNA is filed under the name uncultured Mycobacterium sp. Its description in RNAcentral is "partial 16S ribosomal RNA". It matches the Rfam family "Bacterial small subunit ribosomal RNA", at positions 338 to 524 of the family's 1533-position model. The record is from RNAcentral. Lineage: Bacteria; Bacillati; Actinomycetota; Actinomycetes; Mycobacteriales; Mycobacteriaceae.